UUCGAUCCGUGCUACGAGGACACGCUGGCGGCGUGCCUAAUACAUGCAAGUCGAGCGGAUUGAUGGGAGCUUGCUCCCUGAUAUCAGCGGCGGACGGGUGAGUAACACGUGGGCAACCUGCCUAUAAGACUGGGAUAACUUCGGGAAACCGGAGCUAAUACCGGAUAAUUCCCUUCCUCUCAUGAGGAAGGGUUGAAAGAUGGUUUACGCUAUCACUUAUAGAUGGGCCCGCGGCGCAUUAGCUAGUUGGUGAGGUAACGGCUCACCAAGGCAACGAUGCGUAGCCGACCUGAGAGGGUGAUCGGCCACACUGGGACUGAGACACGGCCCAGACUCCUACGGGAGGCGGCAGUAGGGAAUCUUCCGCAAUGGACGAAAGUCUGACGGAGCAACGCCGCGUGAGUGAUGAAGGUUUUCGGAUCGUAAAACUCUGUUGUUAGGGAAGAACAAGUACGAGAGUAACUGCUCGUACCUUGACGGUACCUAACCAGAAAGCCACGGCUAACUACGUG
RNAcentral lists this ribosomal RNA (512 nucleotides) under uncultured Bacillus sp. RNAcentral's name for it is "bacterial SSU rRNA". It matches the Rfam family "Bacterial small subunit ribosomal RNA", at positions 12 to 507 of the family's 1533-position model. The record is from RNAcentral. Lineage: Bacteria; Bacillati; Bacillota; Bacilli; Caryophanales; Bacillaceae.